Molecule: transfer RNA, 65 nt
Filed under: Callirhopalus sedakowii
Lineage: Eukaryota; Metazoa; Arthropoda; Insecta; Coleoptera; Curculionidae
Description: tRNA-Asp
Rfam family: tRNA
About the family: Transfer RNA (tRNA) molecules are approximately 80 nucleotides in length.
Source: RNAcentral
AAAAAUUUAGUUAAAUUUAUAACGUUAGCUUGUCAAGCUAAAAUCAUUGUACAAAAUAAUUUUUA